RNAcentral lists this long non-coding RNA (14998 nucleotides) under Gossypium barbadense (sea-island cotton). RNAcentral describes it as "long non-coding RNA (GBAR_LNC003560)". Lineage: Eukaryota; Viridiplantae; Streptophyta; Magnoliopsida; Malvales; Malvaceae. The record is from RNAcentral.
CCUUUGCCUCUGAUGCCGGUAAGUUGCUCGGGUGGCUUUCAGGCAUAGCUGCCAAUUACUUGCCCAUGUGGCUGGUCCUUAUCCUUGGUUCAUCUCUCGGGCUGGUUGGUUAUGGAGUGCAAUAUCUCUUCCUCAUAGGCCGUGUCUCCAACUUGCCAUACGGUGCCGUUUUCUUCCUCGCUAUGCUAGCAGGAAAUAGCAUUUGUUGGAUCAACACCGUUUGCUACCUCGUUGCUAUUAGAAACUUCCCCCUCGACGGCCAACUCGUCAUAGGAUUGACAGGUAGCUACCAGGGACUAAGUGCAAAAAUCUAUACAGAUAUUGUGGAUGUCAUCUACCCUUCUUCAGACGGGAAGAGAGCCAGAGCCUAUCUUUUACUUAGCUCUAUCUUACCCCUCAUAGUUAGUGUCAUAACUGCACCGUUAGUUAGAGUUAUUAAAGUUAUGAAGACAAAGAGGGCCAAAGAUGCAUUUAUAUUCAUUCUUGUCAUAACAAUAGCCACAGGAGCCUUUGCUGUCAUGGGCAGUAUAGGAUCAACAUCAAGCUUGUUAUCACCAUUUGCUAGUGCAGUUGGAAUGCUAACGUUGCUAUUAGCCCCACUUUUAAUCCCCUUAGGUUUGGGACUAAGACAUCAAAUUAAGCAACUUGCAGAGGAAAAAGUUCAUAUAGAGGAGAUUAAUAAUGUUUCUAUGGACAAAAUGGAGAGUGGGGUGAAAUUAGAUAUCAGUGAAAUCGUAAGUGAGAGCCAAAGUGAAAGUUUCGAGUUAAGUUUUAGUUCUACCAGUGAAGAAUUUAAUGGAGAGAUAAGAGAAAGCAAUAAUGGAGAUGAUAGGAUAAGUGACACAAACGAGGUAAUUAGUGUGAUAGAGGAGAUCGGUGUGAAGGUGAUGCUAAGGAGAUUGAACUUUUGGUUAUAUUUCUUUGUUUAUCUUUUCGGUGUUACACUGGCCUUGGUUUUCUUCAACAACUUAGGACAAAUAGCUGAAUCUCGAGGGCGUUCAGCUUCUUCUCUUGUUUCAUUAUCGUCUUCGUUUGGUUUCUUUGGUCGUCUCGUACCAUCAAUCGUGGAAUACUUUGUCUCAAGGUAACGUAAUCCAAGCUCUUAACUCUUUUUAUUUUUGGCAAAGUUAUCUAUCUAAUAUCUUCAGUACAGCAAUAUAAUUUAAACCAAUGAGAAUCAGUUGAAGGUUGAUGAAUGCAUUGAAGUAGCAUAUUUAAUUAUAUUACAAAUGGUGGAAUUUCAGGAGAAAAUACAUGAUAUCGAGACCAGCAUUUGUGGUGGCAUUAAUGGCACCAACAGGAGCAGCCUUCUUCUUAUUACUUGCCAACGACACCAGCGUACUAUGGCUUUAUAUUAGCACCGCCAUUAUAGGAGUGUGUUCGGGGGCAAUUACUACCAUAUCUGUAUCUUUAACGACGGAGCUAUUCGGGACCAAAAAUUUUGGCGUCAACCAUAAUGUUUUGGUGGUCAAUAUUCCCAUCGGAUCCUUACUCUUUGGUUACCUAGCAGCUGUUGUUUAUCACAAAGAAGGAAAUGCAGAGGGGAAAUGCUUUGGCAUGGAAUGCUACAGAAAGACCUUUAGUUUGUGGGGUACGCUUUGUUUUAUUGGAACCUUCCUCGCUUUAAUCCUUUACGCUCGUACCCGAAAGUUUUACAACUCGCAAAGAUCAUAGGGUAAUAGAAACUAAUUAUAUUUUAUUAUUGGGUUAGAUUUAACUUGCUAAUUAUUUUUGUAUUUGGGUUUAACUUUUUAAAAAAAAUUAAAUUAUGAAUUUUAUAUUUGUUCUCGUAUUGGUGUUUAAAUUUUGCAUUAUUUUUAUAUUAAAGUUUAAAUUUUAAAAUUUAAAAAAAAAUAUUGAGAAUUAACUUAAAAUAUAUAUAUAUUUAAGUUUUAAUAUAAUAAUAAUUAAUAAAUUAAUUUAAACUCUAAUACAAAUAUAAUUAUCAAAUUCAAGACUUAAAAAAAUAUUAUUGAAAAUAGUUUAAAAGUUUAAAAAAAAAAAAUUAACCCUUAUUUAUUAUACAUAAAUGAAAAGCGAUGUAGCCUAGUAAAAGUUUUUUAGCGGUAGUAUUGAUUAAACAGCAACAGCAGACUUGAUUGCUUUGAUUGAAAAUAGUUUUGCACGCCACUUGUUCUAUAAUUUAUUUUAGGUUUGCUUCACAUCAAAUACAUUGAAAUGACGUUCUUUCACUCGUUAUAUUCGAUGCUGGUAUCUAUAGUCUGGUUUUCUAAUUUUUACAUUUUAUUUUGAUAUUAUAAAAUACUAACGUCUCCUCUCUUAUUACACUAUAAACCCUUAUAAAUUAAAACAUAAUAUGAAAAUUUAUACUUAAAUUAUUUAAAACGCUCCAUUUCUUCUUUAAUUUCCUAGACUCGUGUUCUUCUUUGAUUGAACAAUUAAUAUUGACAUCUACCAAAUGUUAGGCGCAAAUGCAAAUUAAUUGCCACACAAACAAUUCUAUAUAUGUUAUAUUUUGUAUAUAUCAUUAUAUGAUAUGUAGGUAGUUAUUAUACUCUAUAUAUACAUAUAGUGUUUUAUACUUAAAAGUUUGGUAUAUAUAUAUAUUUUGUUGUUGAGAUUUUUAUCUUCGAGUAUAAAUAUAUAAAUCAAAAUUCUCAAUCUAAGCUCUCAGAGUUUCAACACUAUUUUAAUAAAUUUGAUUCUUCAAAGUUUUGGUAUGUGAUAUUACAUCUUAACAAAUUUAAAUACAAAAUUUCAAACACCAUUCUACAAAAUUAUUUAUCGAAUAUACUCCUUUGCAUGUAUGGCUUUGGAUUGUCAGAAUAAUUUCUUGAAGUGGAUAUUAAAGUAACCAAAUUAUCUAUUUCACUUUUUCAUUAUUUAUUUUUUUAUAGUAAAAAUAUUAAUUAAUGCAUUUAGGUGAGAAAACAAAAUAUCCAAUAACUUUAAGCAUUACAUAUGCGUCUGAUUUAGACUAAAGAUUGGUGUUAAAAAAAACAUAUAAUAAAUAAUAAAAUGUAUAAUUUUAAAUUAAUUAAUAAUAAUAAAUUAGAUUAAGUUGUAAGUAAAAUGAAAUUUAAACAUAUGGAUACAUCAUAUUAAUUAAGAUUUCUAAAUGAAUUAUUUAUCGUUAUGUUGUCUUCAAUCCUAAGUUUGGAUCAAGUUAAUUUGUGACAUUAUCUCAGUCAACGACAUUAUUAAUACUAGAAAUUAUAUUAUACAAGAAUUUGUGUGGAAACCACAAAUUUAAAACACAAAUGUGUGUUUAAAGAUAAUAUACAAUAAAUAAAUAAACAUAUGGUUUGAAAUUAUUUAAUAAUAACACAUUAAAUAUGUAUGAUAUUAAAAUAAAAAAUAUUAAAUUAAAUUGUUUAUCAUGUGUCAAUAUUGAGUAAGUGUCGGGUCAAUUUGCGAUACUAAGUCAAUAACAUUAUUAAUAUACAUAAAUAUAUAACAAAUAAAUUUAUUAAAGUUUCAUAUAAAAUAAAAUAAAAAUACUUUAGCUCAAAUGGUAAAUGAAAAUGUUCAUAUGCAUAAUGGCCUUAAUUCAAAUCUUAUUAUAAAUAAUUAUUUUAUUGAUUUAUAAAAUAUAAAAAGAUAAAAACACUCACAUAAUCAUAUAACUUGAAAAAUAAAAUAUUUUUUAUUAAUAAUUUUUAAUUAAAUUGAGAUCAGAUUAAUACGUGACACUAGUUAAAUAAAAAUUUUUACCAACUUAGAUAAUGUUAGCUACGAGCCAAUAAUAUUUUGCGUACCAAAUUUCCUCUAUUUUAAUAAAUAUACUUAGAUAAUCCAUUAUUCCUUUUAAAUUUUUUACCUUCCAUUAUAAUUUUUGUAAUUUAUAUAGUACGAGAUUUAUUAUUCAUGCUUCGACUCAUAUUCUCCAAAAAAAAAUUGUAUCCUUUGUAAUAAUCGUAAAAUUAAAUUUAACUACAAAUACUUUUCACCAUUUUUAUGUAUUAGGAGAUUUCAUUAAAAAACGAAAACACUCCAUUACCAAUUAUGGCCACCGUUGUAGAUUUUAAUGCACAAACCUUGUAAAACUUAUCAGUGAGACCAUAUUGAUACAACACAAAAAGUAACGAAGAAUCAAUUAGGCGCUUGAUCAAUAUAUUUAGUUUGUUGCAUCUUAUCUUAUAUUUGAAGCUGCAUCUCUAUACAUAUAUUUGGCAAUAAGCCGCAUGUCCAAUUAAAUGUCAAUAAAUUUUAGUGAAUCUGUAACGUGAUUGAUAAAUAUACCGCAUUAUAGAUUAAUGUAUCAUGUCAUUGAUAUAUAUUUUUUUUAAUGCGGUUAACUUAUAGUUAAUAAAAUACUAACCAACAAAAUUAAUGAAAAAAUAGGCAUGGAGAGAAAACUUUUUAUUAUUGUGGAUAUAAAAAUAAUAAUGCCUAUAAUCUAACCUUACAUGUACUGUUAUAAUUUCAUGUUUAUAUUUUAAUAAAUAUGAUAAAAUAUUAAAAACAAAAAUAUUAUUCAUAACUUACCUUAAAAAAAUUAAAGUAAAAGAAAGAAUAGCUAGCUUAAUUAACUAAACGUAUAUGUUUAUGUGACCACAAAUCCAGUUGAAACAUAUACGAAUUAACCUCUAAAUCCUGUACUUUGCCUCGUUAAAAUAUCGUAUGGAUCAAUGCAUCUGGUCAUAAAUUGCAAUAUCUCCUUCGUACACUUUCAUUUUCAUCUUUUAAUUCACGAUUCUUGAAAGUAAAACCUGUUGGGUAUGGGUCCCACUAUGUGGGAAACCCAUAUUUUCUGUCACAAUGUUUUGCCCUCUUUUUGGUUUUGUCAAAAGCCAUUUUUGGGGGGCUUUUAACGUAGGAGUGGGUAGAAAAUUUUAGUAGAGCCAAAAAAAACAAAAAAAUCUCAAAUUAAAACAGAGAGAAAGAGAGAAGAAAAUUUCAGUUUUUCAAGUUUGGUGCAGCAGUGAUCAACUCUUCGAUCGAAGGUUCAUCCGUGGUUCGAUUGAGCUGAUUUUUGGACAGCAGCUAGGCGAUAAGGUGUUCUUAACUUUGUACGGUCGGAUUUUUCAUCCGAGUCUUGUAGCGUCGGAAAUACCCAUUUUUCAGCAGCUACGUUUUUGGUGAUGUUCUCUCAUUUUUCUCUCUUUUGCUAAAUAUUACAUAUUGUUAGCCUUGUCGGAGUUGAAUGCUUGUUGUAGGCUUGAUAUUGUGAUCUUGUAGUCAAACAUUUGAUGAUAGUAGAGCUCUUUAUCGGACUCUAAAGUCCUGUGGUUUUUUACCCUUGAUUUAAAGGGGUUUUCCACGUAAAAAUAUCGGUGUCUCUAUUUAUUUUUGUUGUGGUUGCAUUAGUUGAUUUGUGGUUGAUUAAGGUUGCUAGAGAACAUAUCUUGUGCUAUUGUGCUUGCCAUAAUUUUUGACAGGAGUUAUAAGGAGAGAAAGUGUAACACCCCUUACCCGAGACCGUUUCCGGAGUCGAGCACGAGGCAUUACUUAGCUUAUCUUACCAAUUCGGAGCAUAAAAACUAGGUUUGAAAAUUUAUUUCACUAUUUACAGCAAAUCUGUCCAAUCGCGCAGCAGUUACAAAAUUAAUUAUAACUUGAGCUACAGAACUCGAAAUUUAAUUCCGUAAAUUUUCCCUGAAACUAGACUCAUAUAUCUACUCACCAUAAAAUUUUUAGAAUUUUUGGUUCAGCCAAUUAGUACAGUUUAUUAGUUAAAGUCUCCCCUGUUUCACCAUUCGACUAUUCUGACCUCUUGUUACUAAAAAUAAGUUUUCUCACUGUAGGAUUUUCAUAUGAAGUUCUUACUUGUUUCUACAGAAAAUAGACUCAUUAAGGAAUCUAAGCAUGUAAAUUUCAACUCAUAACCAUUUUUUUACAAUUUGUAAUUAUUUUCUAAACUCAGAACAGGGGACUCCAAAAACAGUUCUGACCCUAUCUUACUAAAAUUCACAUAUCUUAAAAUAUAAAUUUCCUUUUUCUACACCGUUAUUUUUCCAUGAAAAUAGACUUAACAAGAUUUAAUUCCAUAUAUCAUUCACCCUCUAAUUCAUUUUAUACUAUCUUGGGUGAUUUUUCAAAUUCACGUCACUGUGCUGCUUGAAUUCUGUUUCUUUGCAAAAUUUUAUCCUUUCAUGAUUUCCAUGCAUAAUUUAUCACCUAAUCUUUUAUAACAACAAACACCUUCAUCCUUAACCAUUUUAAUGACCAUACAUCAUCAAAUACUUACACAUCACUCAUUAGCAAAAUCAUCAUUACAAACAUACAAAAUAACUAAAUCCCUAUACAUGCCAUAACUCAAACGUGUUUCGAUAUAAAAUACCGAGCAGUUGUAGUUGAUAGUGUGGACGAUCUCCGACUUCUUUAGGAUCCUUGAAGUAGCUUUGCAAUACUAUAAGAGAAAGAAAAAUAAAAGAAGUAAGCAUAAAGCUUAGUAAGUUUACUAGCAAAUAAAUAACAAUAUUUAACUUAAAUAAUUAAACUCAAUGUCCAUAUCUCUAGUUUACUCUUUAGUUAAUCUCAUACUAGUUCUUUUACUUGUUUACUUAGAAUACUUGUGUGCAUAACUUACUCAAUCCUUGCUGCAUCGUUGAACAUCAAUUGAUAGUAUAAUAAGUUCUUAAGUCUCACAACUUACCUGAGCUUGCCAUUUAUGCUUUAAACUGAACUUUCAUGAACAUGACUCAUUUACAAGCCCGUUGAGCUACAUUGGAAUAAUAAGGAUACUCGGGUCUCUUCUGAUAAUAACAUGCCAAAGCCAUGUCCCAGACAUGGUCUUACAUGGGAUGUUCUCAUGUUGGUGCCCAUGUCAUGUCCCAGACAUGGUCUUAUAGGGGACCUCUCAUCUCGGUGCCAACGCCAUGUCCCAGACAUGGUCUUACAUGGGACCUCUCAUCUCGGUGCCAAUGCCAUGUUCCAGACAUGGUCUUACAUGGGACCUCUUUACCCAAAUGUCAUGACAUUCGUAUCCAGUACCAUCCUUAUGUAUCAACGGGACUUUUUAAUUUUAAUUCUUUAUCAUUUCAUGCUUAGAUCAUCAUCAAAUAAAUUCAUAAAAUAAAUUCAUAGUUGCUGGAAAAUAACAGCAUUGAUAAUAAAUAUUGAAAUAUUGCAUUUAUUUACCGUAAACUUACCUCGGUACCAAUUAUAGCCAAAUUCACCAACUUAGUCUUCAACUUUAUUCUUCCCUUUGUCUAACCUCGAGUUUCGUACUUCUUGAUCUAAAAUAGUAAAUUUAACUUAUUUAAUAAUCACAUUCAUCAAAAUAGCCCUCGACUCUAACUUUUUCAAAAUUACAAUUUUGCCCCUAAACUUUUACAUAAUUACAUUUUUGCCCCAAGGCUCGGAAAUUAAACUUCAUCUCUUAUUCUUAUGUUUUAUAACAUUCUGAACAUUUUCCCCUUCUAUGGCAACAUCAAAUUCCCACUCUAACAUGUACUUAUGAACAUUAGGUAUUUUUACCGAUUAUGUCGUUUUACUCGUUUUCACUUAAAAUCGCUUAGCAAAAGUUGUUUAACAUAAUUUCUAGCUUCAUAUUCUAUCAUAAAACAUCAAAAUAAACACUUUUCACCUAUGGGUAUUUUUCCAAAUAUAAACCCUAGGUUAAAUUAUUGCUAGAAUAAGCUAAAUUAAGCUACCGGGACUCCAAAAACGUAAAAAACAUUAAAAACGGGUCUUGGGAUCACUUACUAUGGAACUUGGAAGCUUGAAAACCCUAACUAUGGCUUCCCCCCUUGCUGAUUUCGUCCUAAUGAAGAAGAAGAUGAUUUUUGCCAUCUUUUUCCCUUUUAAUUCAUUUUAAUUACUAGAUUACCAAAUUGCCCCUAACUUAAAAAUUUUCUAUUUCACUUAUCUCAUGUCCAUUUUUGUCUACCAAGUUACCAAUGGUAUAAUUACCAUAUAAGGACCUCCAAUUUAAAGUUUCAUAACAAUUGGACACCUCUAACAUGUAGAACUCAACUUUUGCACUUUUUACAAUUUAGUCCUUUUUGACUAAAUUGAGUGCCCAAACGUCGAAAUUUUCGAACGAAAUUUUCACGAAAUCAUUUUAUGAAAUUGUAGACCAUAAAAAUAUAAGAAAAAUAAAAUUUUUCUCAUCGGAUUUGUGGUCCCGAAACCACUGUUCCGAUAACCUCAAAUUUGGGCCAUUACAACUCUCCCCCCCUUUUUAGGAUUUUCGUCCUCGAAAAUCUUACCAGUAAAGAGAUUCGGGUAUUGCUUCCUCAUUGUCUCUUCCGGUUCCCAUGUUGCUUCCUCAAUCCCGUGCUUUUGCCAUAGCACUUUCACCAGAUUUACCUUUUUUGUUUCUAAGCUCCUUUGUUUCUCGUACUAAUACUUUAACCGGUUCUUCAUUAUAAGUCAUAUCCGGCUGAAUUUCUACUUCUGUUGGAGUAAUAACAUGUGAAGGAUCUGAUCGAUACCGUCGUAGCAUAGAUACAUGAAAUACAUUAUGAAUUUUAUCGAGUUCUGGUGGUAAAGCCAAUCGGUAAGCAACUGGUCCAAUUCUUUCUAUAAUCUCAUAUGGUCCGAUAAAUCUUGGACUCAAUUUACCCUUUCGACCGAACCGGAGAACUUUCUUCCAAGGAGACACUUUUAAGAAUACUUUAUCACCCACCUGAAAUUCAAUCUCCCUUCGUUUAAGAUCGGCGUAUGACUUCUGACGAUCGGAAGCUGCUUUUAAACUAUCUCGAAUCAGCCUUACUUUUUCUUCUGUUUCCCGGAUCAAAUCAACCCCGUGUGUCUUCUUUUCACUGAGCUCUGUCCAAUAUAAUGGUGUUCUACAUUUUCUACCAUACAAAGCUUCAUACGGAGCCAUUUUAAUACUGGACUGAUAACUGUUAUUAUAAGCAAAUUCAAUUAAAGGUAGAUACCUUUCCCAAUUACCUUGAAAUUCUAAUGCACAACAUCGGAGCAUAUCUUCCAGUACCUGAAUUACACACUCAGAUUGGCCAUCUGUCUGAGGAUGAAAUGCAGUACUGAAAUGCAACUGAGUACCCAAAGCUUCUUGCAAUUUGUUCCAGAAACGAGACGUAAAUCGGGGGUCUCUAUCUGAUAUAAUGGAGACAGGCACUCCAUGUAGUCUAACAAUCUCAGAUAUAUACAGUUCAGCUAAUUUAUCUAGAGAAUAAUUCAUACGUACCGGGAUAAAAUGUGCUGAUUUUGUUAAUCGAUCAACGAUCACCCAAAUGGCAUCUUUAUUCUUCGGAGACAAUGGUAAUCCGGACACAAAAUCCAUAGUAAUUCUUUCCCAUUUCCAUUCUGGUAUAGUAAUUGGCUGAAGCAACCCCGAAGGUACCUGAUGUUCAGCUUUAACCUGUUGACAUACCAAACAUCUUGAUACAAACUCAGAGAUAUCACGUUUCAUACUCGGCCACCAAUACAUCUUUUUCAAGUCAUUAUACAUUUUAUUACCUCCCGGAUGUACGGACAUAAUACCACUGUGUGCUUCGUGUAAAAUCUUCUGUACAAGUUCUGAAUUCUUCGGUACACAUACUCUGCCUCUGAAUAAUAAACAACCAUCAGUUCCAAUCUGAAAUUCUGAAUCAUUACCUGACUCACAAUGCACCCGUUUAGCCUGUAAUUUCUCAUCAUUCCUCUGAGCUUCACAUAUUUGUUGACGAAAUGUCGAUUUAGCUCUCAAUUCAGCUAUGAUUGAACCAUCAUUAGACAGUGACAACCGGGUAUUCAUAGCUCGUAAAGCAAAUAGAGAUUUUCGGCUCAAAGCAUCAGCUACCAUGUUAGCCUUACCCGGAUGGUAAUCAAUAACCAAAUCAUAAUCCUUUAUCAAUUCAAGCCACCUGCGUUGUCUCAAAUUCAAAUCUUUCUGUGUCAUCAAAUAUUUCAAGCUUUUGUGAUCAGUAUAAAUAUGACACUUUUCACCAUACAAAUAAUGCCGCCAUAUUUUCAAUGCAAAUACAAUAGCAGCUAACUCGAGAUCAUGUACCGGGUAGUUUCUUUCAUGUGGCUUAAGUUGUCUUGAAGCAUAGGCUAUUACUUUAUCUUCUUGCAUCAAGACACAACCCAAACCAUUUAAUGAUGCAUCACUAUAAAUAAUAAAUUCCUUACCCGAUUCAGGCUGUACCAACACAGGUGCUUUCGUCAACAACUCCUUCAAUCGGUCGAAACUUUGCUGGCAUUUUUCUGUCCAUUCAAAUUUAACAUCUUUCUGUAAUAAACGGGUCAUUGGAGAAGCUAUCAUAGAAAACCCUUGUACAAAUCUCCGAUAAUAACCAGCUAAACCCAAGAAACUUCUAACUUCAGAUACAUUCUUCGGUGGACUCCAAUUGACAAUAGCUGAAAUUUUACUCGGAUCUACCCUGAUGCCUUCUGCGGAUACAAUAUGUCCGAGAAAACCUACCUCUCGAAGCCAAAAUUCACAUUUACUGAAUUUAGCAUAAAGUUUCUUUUCACGCAGAAUUUGCAACACUAUUUUCAAAUGUUCUGCAUGCUCAGUUUCAUCCCGAGAAUAAACUAAAAUGUCAUCAAUAAAAACUACUACAAACCUAUCUAGAUACGGUCUGAAUAUCCGGUUCAUCAAAUCCAUGAAUACUGCAGGUGCAUUAGUCAACCCAAACGGCAUAACCAGAAACUCAUAAUGCCCACACCUGGUUCUGAAAGCUGUCUUUGGCACAUCUGGCUCUUUUACCCGUAACUGAUAAUAACCCGAUCGGAGAUCAAUCUUUGAAAAUACUGUGGCAUCUUUCAGUUGAUCAAAUAAGUCAUCAAUUCGAGGCAACGGGUACUUAUUCUUUAUAGUUACCUUAUUAAGCUGCCGAUAGUCAAUACACAAUCUCAAAGACCCGUCUUUCUUUUUCACAAACAGAACUGGAGCACCCCAAGGUGAAUGACUCGGACGAACAAAACCUCUGUCAACAAGUUCCUGUAACUGUGCCUUUAACUCUUUUAAUUCUGUAGGAGCCAUACGAUACGGAGCUAUGGAAAUUGGGGCAGUUCCCGGAAUCAAAUCUAUAGAAAAUUCCACUUAUCUUUCUGGUGGCAACCCUGGUAAUUCCUCUGGAAACACAUCAGAAAAUUCACAUACAACUGGCACUGCCUGUAUCUUUAACUCAGAUACUUUAGUAUCCAACACAUACGCCAAAUAAACAUCAUACCCUUUUCUAACACACCUCUGAGCUGUCAUAACUGAAAUCGUAUCGGAUAAUCCCUCUGUCUGAUUAGAUUUAACCCAAAGUAAUUCUCCAUUCCGCAAUUACAUCAGGAGAGAACGCCUCUUCACGAGCUCGAAUAGCAUAUGAUCUUGCAGGUGCUCUAACAUCUGAUCUAACCGCUGAAUCUCUGGAUGCACCCCUAUUACUCGCACCCAUUCCUGGGUUUCUCUGCGGUCUAUCUCUGGUAGGAGCAUUACCUGAUCUCGCACUCGUUAUUUCUUCUCUUUUAGUUGUUUCAGGACAAUCCCGAAUAAAGUGAUCGGAUGCUCCACAUCUAAAACAAACAUUUUCACCUGCUCUACACUCUCCGGGGUGGCGUCUCCNNNNNNNNNNNNNNNNNNNNNNNNNNNNNNNNNNNNNNNNNNNNNNNNNNNNNNNNNNNNNNNNNNNNNNNNNNNNNNNNNNNNNNNNNNNNNNNNNNNNNNNNNNNNNNNNNNNNNNNNNNNNNNNNNNNNNNNNNNNNNNNNNNNNNNNNNNNNNNNNNNNNNNNNNNNNNNNNNNNNNNNNNNNNNNNNNNNNNNNNNNNNNNNNNNNNNNNNNNNNNNNNNNNNNNNNNNNNNNNNNNNNNNNNNNNNNNNNNNNNNNNNNNNNNNNNNNNNNNNNNNNNNNNNNNNNNNNNNNNNNNNNNNNNNNNNNNNNNNNNNNNNNNNNNNNNNNNNNNNNNNNNNNNNNNNNNNNNNNNNNNNNNNNNNNNNNNNNNNNNNNNNNNNNNNNNNNNNNNNNNNNNNNNNNNNNNNNNNNNNNNNNNNNNNNNNNNNNNNNNNNNNNNNNNNNNNNNNNNNNNNNNNNNNNNNNNNNNNNNNNNNNNNNNNNNNNNNNNNNNAGUCUAAAAGGCCUAAAAGAUUCCGAAAGGUUAGGGAAAGGGCUAGACCCUUUUGGAAUAGGGUAGAAGGUUCUAGAAGGUCUAGAUACAUCCACUUGUAUAGAUGGAAAUGUUUUAGACACGCAAUAUAGGUCGUCAGAUCGAAUAGAUCUUAGCAAUUGGUUUUUAGAGGCCUAUAAAUAGGAAGGUUCCGUCCUCAGUUGUACAUAUUUGGCUUUAAUAAUGAGAAUCCUCCUAGCAUUUCUCCCAACUAUUGUGUGCUUGAGUGUUUGAGUGUAGAAGCUCUCUUGGUGGCUUGUUGUAGACUAAAGGCAAAACUAGCCUCAAGGCAAAACUAGCCUCUUUCAGUAAAGAUCGAAGGUUGUACUUAAGCUCAUUGUCAUAGGAACCGAGCCUAAGGCCACAUGUUGACAGAGCUAAUAUCUCAACACGUGACAUAUGCUUGAUGUGGGUCGUAUUUUUGUUUUAGGUUUCAUUAAACUCUUGCUUAGUCCGUUGUUUUGGGAUUUUUAAUAAUCGAUUGAGAAAAAAAGUAAUGUUAAUCACUGUCAAGUUAUUAAUUAUUAUUACCAACUAUCAUAAUAAUCUAGUUUUUGGAAUCGAAAUCAAGUCCUUAAAUAAUAAACAAUGUAAUGUGAUUAUUUUCAUCUUCUAGUUUAAUGGAAGCAAGACUUGGUCAACAAUCAACCCACCUUUACAUUUAGUACAAUGAAGUAAGCAGUGCAUACUAUUUUAUAUUAUCAUAUAUAAAAUAAACAAGAUACUUUAUAUAUAAAAUAUAUAAGAUCAUUUCAAAAAAUAAAAAAUAAAAAAUAAAAUAUUAUAGAUAAGUCAUCAAACUUUUAAAUAAAUAAGUUAACAAUUUCAAUAAACAAAUUUAAAAUACAUAACAUAAUUUUACAAAAUAAAAAACGAUAAAUAUUCACUUUAACUAAAACCACCAGAAACAUAUUAUGAAAUCAAAAGCUAUAAAUACACAUAUUUCCCAUUGUUUUCUCUUCGCUUCUACUGUUCCCCCACCCCAUUUUCCACAUUUUUUUUUUCAUUUCCAUUAAACAUGUGCUUCCUCACACUUUUUCCACAUUUUCGUUUCUAAGCUAAAAAAGUUGUUGCAAACAUUACAAUGCAAUUAUGAAAUUAAAUAAAUAUUUGUAGAGCCAAAUCAAAUGAACAUUUUGUGUACCAUUGAGAUUGAUACGUGGGAAUAAAUCUUUUUAUAUAAUUUUAACUAUGUAAUAUUUUUUAAUUUAAUAAUUUUGAGUUUUUUUUUUAUAAUUUAUAGUGUUAAAAAAUAUUUUUAAUUUAUUUAAUAAUUAUUAUUUUUGGUUGCCUUAUUAAUUUUAAUAAUUAUUAAUUUUUUUAUAGUUUUGCAAUAAUCCGAAAUGAUUUGGAUAACCUUUUAUUCAAAAUAAUUUUAGAUGUUCCUGUUAUUAAUUUUUACAUUUUUUUAUAAAUUAUUAAUAUUUUUUAUUUUUUUAUUUUUUUAAAAUUUUAAAUUAUAUAUUUUUAUUAUUUUUUAAUAAAUUUAUAAGUUAUUUUUUUAUAAAUUUGCAUUCAUUUAGAAUGAAUUUAGACAAAUAAUUAUUUAUUUUUAUUAUAAAUAAUAAUUUAUUAAUUUUUUAUUUAACAUGUCACAUUAACACGGUUAACGAUAAAAUUGGUGAAUAAAAAAAAGAUAAAAAUAUAAUAUUUAAUUUAAAAUUGAGUUAAUAUUAAAUUUAAAAUUUUAUAAUAUUAAAAAAUACUACGAUUCCUUAAUUGGUUGAGAAAAUUUUAAUAAAGAUAAUAAUAAAAACUUAUAAUAAUUACAAAAUUAUAUAUUAACUAUAUGAUUGGUCGGCGGUGAAUUGAAUCAAGGCUUAAAAUUAAGGCUUAACUAGAAAAAUCUUGAGCCCAAAAAGUGGGUCCAGCGAAACCAAUACUAUUAAUUUGUGGUUUUGGAUGGUUAAAAAUUAAACACGCUCCCUUAAAGAAUGUCCAUAAAUAAACAUGCUGUGUGGCCCCCAACAUAAGCAUUAAUUUGGAUCACAACUCAUCUCCCUUGCAUGAAUGAUGUCACCACUGAACUCACCUAUACGAUUCUACCACAGUUCCUAUCCUAUGUUUUGAUUCGAUUUAAUAGGAGUUUUUAAAAAGAAAAAAAGAAAAUUGAAUGCAAAGGCUAGACAUAAUAAGACUCUUAAUUAAAAUUUCCGAAAUUAGGUCGAAAUGGAGUUUUGAUUAAAUUUGUUCCGCUUGGUUCCAUCUUGAAAAUUUUAGUAAAAUAUUUUUCUAUUAAGUUCAUAAAUAAUUUUAAUUAAAAUGUUUUUAACAUUUAUAAAAUUUUAUAUGAUUUAACUAUUUUGUAUAUAUUUUAAGAUUUUUUUAUAAAAAUAUAAAAGACAUUGCAUACAAUUAUAGACUGUGACAUACAAAUUAUGAGAAUCAACGACAUGAACAAGAGCAUAUAUAUGUGUAUAUAUAUACAAAUUUUAUAUAUAUACAUACAAAAUUUAUAUUGCAUGAGGCUCUGCCAUGUAUGAAAUAAAAAAAAAGGCUUAUGAUGUAAAUAUAAAUAUUAGGACCCUCAAAGUGUAUAUAUACACGUGUAGGCCUAGCCCAUAUAUAUGUGUCCGUAAACAUAAGCAGCAAAUAUGUUUCCUUCUAACACACACCAAUAAGGUAACAAUGAUGAAAUUCAUUAAUGAAUUAUAAGAUGUGUGGUAGCGAUGCUAAAGCAUCUUUUAAUCUUUGUUGAAAAAGCCACGUCUUUUGUCAUUCUCAAUUGCCAAACACAGAGACACACUCAAUUCCUUUAAAUACUCCAUUAGUAGUACCCACAGCACUCACAAUUUCAGUUUUAUAUCUUCUUUCGCAUUUGGCUUUGGCCAUGCCUCCAACUUUUCUUCAAUGGCUUAGUCUAGUUGCGAUGAUUUUGCUUCAAUCCAUAAAUGGAACUAACUCAAAUUUCCCAGCUUACUCAUCCCAACUCAAGCAUGUCCUCUCUAUGUCACAAAUUCAGCUCAAUAACCUUGCCUUUGCCUCUGAUGCCGGUAAGUUGCUCGGGUGGCUUUCAGGCAUAGCUGCCAAUUACUUGCCCAUGUGG